Clostridiales bacterium PH28_bin88 is the source of this 232-nucleotide non-coding RNA. Lineage: Bacteria; Bacillati; Bacillota; Clostridia; Eubacteriales. The record is from Rfam.
CGAAUCCCACCUGGGAAAGGCCUAGCCAGCCACCAGUAGCGAGUCUUGGGAACUACUGAGUAAUCAGUGGGACUAAGCGUAGACAGCGAGGUAGUAGGCCGAAAGCGAAAGCUGAAGGGAUUGAGCCCCGAAAUCAUAAAUUGGGAGGGCCGAUGCUGUCGUAGAAGCAUAAGGCAACACAGCGACCGCCGCAAUGGCAAGGAGGUCAAUGCAUCCCCGGGGUCAGAGACCU